GGGGAAAAUAUCCAACACUGCCUGCUGCCUGUGAAAAUAGUGCAAUAGCUGGAAUACAAUAAUCUAAAUAUGUAACUUCCAAAGAUAAUAAAUAUACUGGGUACAAACUCCAUAAUUGUAUAUCUCAGAACAGAGGCUGUGAAGUACCCAACUUGUAUUUUAUUAACACAGUCGAAACUGACAUUCUGUGACUUCGCUCAGGUCUUGACUUAAAUCUUGACAGAAAAAUUUCCAAAGCCUGGAUCUCAAUACUAGAUUGUCUGAUUCAAAAAGCUGAACAAGGGGGCAAGUUCCAGCUUUAAUAUUUUUUCAAGCAUAAAUUUCUGAGUGAUUGCAGUGUGCAGCUAGGGCUGAGUGACAACCUCGGAUCCGCUUGCUGGGAUGGGACAGGCUCUCCCGGUUUGUACAUAUAUUUCAAGGUGUGCAGUAUGUGGACAGCCAUGCUGCAGGUCAUUCGGGAACAUCUUUAGAACCGCCCCAGCUUUGUCAGGACAAGGAUUUGUCUUUCUUCUUCAAAUCAUCUGAUCCACCCUGGCACCGGGGCGCUCGCUGUGUUUGUUAAAUGGCGUGUUGAUGAACUAGCCCGAGACUCUCCUCGGGAACUGAAGCUCGCUUAAGAUUCUGCUCAGCAGCUGAGAUCGUGAUCUCAAAGGACUUUCAGAAUUGCAUAGGGCAGACAUUAUUCUAGAAGCCAGCAGGAGUGACUGUGUAAUAUGUCACCGAUAAUAGCUUCUCAUCUUGAACAUGAGUUUAUUUCUUCUAAAGUCAUUUUUCCGACCUUUUUCACCUCCUUUCCAAUGAAAAUAGAAAUGCCACACCCCUUGUUACUGUUAAAUAUGUUUACAGCAGAAAGGGAAAAGCGGCUGUGAAACAAUAUAAGCAAGAAGUCAGAAGCUACCUCGUCUCAUCACAACCAGGAUUGUAACAAUAUUAAGAAAAUAAGUACACAGCUGCUUUGUGAAUCUUCAGGAUCAUUGGAAUGACAGAAAACUGCAGGCUCCGUGUGUCCUGUCAUGCUGAAGGCCAUGCUGCUCUGUUUCUCUCCAGAGACCUCAAAUGCCAAGUCAAAUCAUUUCACCUUUGUGUUUUGAUCCAGCAUUUGUGUUAGGUAAGGAUACAGACUCCCUAAGACUCAUCAGAACAAAGACUCUGCUCUGUGACUGUUGAAAAAUAGAGUAUCUUCUCCCUUGUCUGGACCCUGGAGAGAACUAAAUUUAAAUCUCACAAAGGCAGAAAGCAGCUUGCCCCGGUCCUCUCACAGACAACAUUCGUAUUCUUGGGCUUCACUCCCUGCCUUGAACUGCUUGGAAUUUUAAACUCCAAGGCUCUCCACCAGGAAUGAGAAGACCUGGAUUCUAUUCUUGGCAUGGCUGGCGCGUGGCUCUGUGACCCUGAGCAGAUGACUUAACCUCAGGACCUCUUCGCUCCUGUAAAAUGAGAAGAGUAGCUGGCUGAUGUCAGAGGCGCUUCUGGCUCUAAAAUUCUCUCAGCUUUACCAGGACAGGAAGCUGGUGAAGCAUCUGCAAUAAACCACUCCUGAGAUGCCCAGGGAAAAAGACCAUUGAUAGAUAC
Heterocephalus glaber (naked mole-rat) is the source of this 1572-nucleotide long non-coding RNA. The record is from Ensembl. NCBI's taxonomy places the organism in Eukaryota, Metazoa, Chordata, Mammalia, Rodentia, Bathyergidae.